This 107-nucleotide small nuclear RNA is filed under the name Procavia capensis (Cape rock hyrax). Lineage: Eukaryota; Metazoa; Chordata; Mammalia; Hyracoidea; Procaviidae. The record is from RNAcentral.
GUGCUUGCUUUGGCAGCACGUAUACUGAACUUGGAAUGAUGCAGAGAAAACUAGCAUGGUCCCUACACAAGGAUGACACGCAGACUCGCAAAGCAUUCCAUAUUUUU